Molecule: ribosomal RNA, 465 nt
Filed under: Vreelandella stevensii
Lineage: Bacteria; Pseudomonadati; Pseudomonadota; Gammaproteobacteria; Oceanospirillales; Halomonadaceae
Description: partial 16S ribosomal RNA
Rfam family: Bacterial small subunit ribosomal RNA
Source: RNAcentral
CCUACGGGUGGCUGCAGUGGGGAAUAUUGGACAAUGGGGGCAACCCUGAUCCAGCCAUGCCGCGUGUGUGAAGAAGGCCCUCGGGUUGUAAAGCACUUUCAGUGAGGAAGAACGCCUGGUGGUUAAUACCCAUCAGGAAAGACAUCACUCACAGAAGAAGCACCGGCUAACUCCGUGCCAGCAGCCGCGGUAAUACGGAGGGUGCGAGCGUUAAUCGGAAUUACUGGGCGUAAAGCGCGCGUAGGUGGCUUGAUAAGCCGGUUGUGAAAGCCCCGGGCUCAACCUGGGAACGGCAUCCGGAACUGUCAAGCUAGAGUGCAGGAGAGGAAGGUAGAAGUCCCGGUGUAGCGAUGAAAUGCGUAGAGAUCGGGAGGAAUACCAGUGGCGAAGGCGGCCUUCUGGACUGACACUGACGCUGGGGUGCGAAAGCGUGGGUAGCAAACAGGAUUAGAUACCCGAGUAGUC